GGAAGUAAAAGUCGUAACUAGGUUUCCGUAGGUGAACCUGCGGAAGGAUCAUUAUUGUAUAACCGAGGUGCGAGGGCUGUCGCUGACCCGAAAGGUCGUGCACGCCCGAGUGCCCUCACACACAUCCAUCUCACCCCUAUGUGCACCACCGCGUGGAUCCCCCUUUGGCUUGUUCGGAGGGGGGCUUACGUUUUCACACAAACUUUGUAUGCAGUGUAGAAUGUAUUUUUUGUUUUUGCGAUCACGCAAUCAAUACAACUUUCAACAACGGAUCUCUUGGCUCUC
This 285-nucleotide unclassified non-coding RNA is filed under the name plant metagenome. Its description in RNAcentral is "partial contains small subunit ribosomal RNA, internal transcribed spacer 1, and 5.8S ribosomal RNA". The stretch from base 1 to 54 matches the Rfam family "Eukaryotic small subunit ribosomal RNA", at positions 1778 to 1831 of the family's 1831-position model. The record is from RNAcentral.